AUACGUAGGGAGCAAGCGUUGUCCGGAAUCAUUGGGCGUAAAGCGCGCGUAGGUGGCCUCAUAAGUCCGCUGUGAAAGUCCAAGGCUCAACCUUGGAAAGCCGGUGGAUACUGUGAGGCUAGAGUACGGAAGAGGCGAGUGGAAUUCCUGGUGUAGCGGUGGAAUGCGCAGAUAUCAGGAGGAACACCAAUAGCGAAGGCAGCUCGCUGGGACGUUACUGACACUGAGGCGCGAAAGCGUGGGGAGCGAACA
RNAcentral lists this ribosomal RNA (252 nucleotides) under uncultured prokaryote. Its description in RNAcentral is "partial 16S ribosomal RNA". It matches the Rfam family "Bacterial small subunit ribosomal RNA", at positions 523 to 774 of the family's 1533-position model. The record is from RNAcentral.